UACGGGAGGCAGCAGUGGGGAAUAUUGCACAAUGGGCGAAAGCCUGAUGCAGCUAUGCCGCGUGUAUGAAGAAGGCCUUAGGGUUGUAAAGUACUUUCAUCGGGGAGGAAAAAACAAAACUAAUAAUUUUAUUUCUUGACGUUACCCGAAAAAGAAGCACCGGCUAACUCCGUGCCAGCAGCCGCGGUAAUACGGAGGGUGCUAGCGUUAAUCAGAAUUACUGGGCGUAAAGAGCACGUAGGUGGUUUUUUUAAGUCAGAUGUGAAAUCCCUGGGCUUAACCUAGGAACUGCAUUUUGAAACUGAAAUACUAGAGUAUCGUAGAGGGAGGUAGAAUUCUAGGUGUAGCGGUGAAAUGCGUAGAUAUCUGGAGGAAUACCUGUGGCGAAAGCGGCCUCCUAAACGAAUACUGACACUGAGGUGCGAAAGCGUGGGGAGCAAACAGGGAUUUAGAUACCCGU
This 460-nucleotide ribosomal RNA is filed under the name uncultured bacterium. RNAcentral's name for it is "bacterial SSU rRNA". It matches the Rfam family "Bacterial small subunit ribosomal RNA", at positions 340 to 789 of the family's 1533-position model. The record is from RNAcentral.